GAUCCAGAGUACCACGGGACACGUGAAACCCUGUGGGAAGCAGGAGGGACCACCCUCCAAGGCUAAAUACUACCUAGUGACCGAUAGCGUAUAGUACCGUGAGGGAAAGGUGAAAAGAACCCCGGGAGGGGAGUGAAAUAGAACCUGAAACCCUGCACUUACAAGCUGUGGAAGCACAUUUCUUGUGUGACCGCGUACUUUUUGUAGAACGGGCCAACGAGUUACGUUAAGUAGCAAGGUUAAGCACUUAAGGUGCGGAGCCGUAGCGAAAGCGAGUUUUAACUGAGCGUUCAGUUACUUGACGUAGACCCGAAACCGGGCGACCUACCCAUGAGCAGGAUGAAGCGAAAGUAAAAUUUCGUGGAGGUCCGAACCCACGAGCGUUGAAAAGCUCGGGGAUGACUUGUGGGUAGCGGUGAAAUUCCAAUCGAGCCCGGAGAUAGCUGGUUCUCCCCGAAAUAGCUUUAGGGCUAGCCUCAAGGUGAGAGAUACGGAGGUAGAGCACUGAAUGUCCUAGGGGGUAUUGCACCUACCGAAGACUAUCAAACUCCGAAUGCCGUCAUCUUAUACUUGGGAGUCAGACUGUGGGUGAUAAGAUUCAUAGUCGAAAGGGCAACAGCCCAGAUCGUCAGCUAAGGUCCCUAAAUGUAAGUUAAGUGGUAAAGGAUGUGGGAUUGCACAGACAACCAGGAUGUUGGCUUAGAAGCAGCCACUCAUUCAAAGAGUGCGUAAUAGCUCACUGGUCGAGUGAUCCUGCGCCGAAGAUUUCCGGGGCUAAAACUU
RNAcentral lists this ribosomal RNA (783 nucleotides) under Clostridioides difficile. Its description in RNAcentral is "partial 23S ribosomal RNA". It matches the Rfam family "Bacterial large subunit ribosomal RNA", at positions 404 to 1189 of the family's 2925-position model. The record is from RNAcentral. Lineage: Bacteria; Bacillati; Bacillota; Clostridia; Peptostreptococcales; Peptostreptococcaceae.